Marmota flaviventris (yellow-bellied marmot) is the source of this 859-nucleotide long non-coding RNA. RefSeq lists it as uncharacterized. NCBI's taxonomy places the organism in Eukaryota, Metazoa, Chordata, Mammalia, Rodentia, Sciuridae. The record is from RefSeq and is a predicted model, not a curated record.
UCUCUUGUGGAGUAUCUAUUAUGAUAUUCGCCCUUUUUUCUAUUGAGUUCUCUUCCUUUUUCUUAUUGAUUCAAAGGAGUGUUUCCUAUGCUCCCUGUAAGAGCCCUGUGUCAGAAUAUGUAUUGAAACUCCCUUCUCUCAGUCUAUGGUUUACCUUUUUACUCUCUUAAUGGGUUUUGAAGAACUGAAGUUCUUAACUUUGAUUUCAUUCCAUUGAUCAAUACCUCUCCCCUUGAUGGUUAUUGCUCUUUGUGUCUUAGGAAGUCAUUUCUGGAGGAGGAUCUUGUGGAAGUGGCCAGCUCAAGUCUGAGGGAUUAUUAUACAUCACGUUACCUACAGCAGCAGACAGCUCAGUUUGUAUGCUAAAAUUACCCAAGAAACAGCAAGGCAAGAGGUCUGCUUGUGCCUUCUCUAUGAAGAUAUGUGGAAGUAGCAAUACAAAAGAAAAUCCAGAAGCCCCUGCAAAGUGCAUUUUCCAAUAUUGCUAUGAAAGGAGACCUUUCAGAGGGCUUUUCCAUCUGGAGACUGAUGUCAGAGAGAUAUGAAGAGUGAAGGGGAUUUGACUUGAAGAUGCAGGAGGCCACACAAGAAAGAAUUCAAACAAUCUUAAAGAGAAAGGCAUCCUGGCCAACAACCAUCAAGGAAGCCAGGCUGUUAGUCCUAUGACUACAAGAGACUGAAUUCUGCCCAUGACCUCAGUGGGCCUGGAAGUGAUGUCCACUCAGAGUCUGCAGAUGAAGGCUCAGCUUGGCUCACAGCUUGAGUCCCUCUUUAUGAUCCCUGGAACAGAGAAUGGAGCGACACUGAGCAGGACUUCCAGCCUACAGGACUGUGAAUUAAUAAACAGAUGUUGUUAGAA